Carassius carassius (crucian carp) is the source of this 460-nucleotide long non-coding RNA. RefSeq lists it as uncharacterized. Lineage: Eukaryota; Metazoa; Chordata; Actinopteri; Cypriniformes; Cyprinidae. The transcript has 2 exons. The record is from RefSeq and is a predicted model, not a curated record.
AGGAUACAGAAUGACUUCAGUUAGCACUGAGUUUCAGUGCUUUGAAAAUGACCACAACUGUCGAACUGCUAUAUGGUACUCAGAGAUUUAUUUGAUCGAAUUCGAAGGCCUGUAUCUCUCUGCACAGGUGGAUUGUGAUGGACGUCACUUUAUGGAGUGGAGAAACUGGUCUCUGUGCGCCAGAGCAGGCUCAGAAAAACCCCAGGCCUGCCAAGAACAAUUCAUGCUAUCAUCAACCCGCUGUCUGUGCCAACUGGGUUUCAGAUCUCUCUUACACAUCCCUGUUUUGUCAACACUAACAUUUUAAAAUGUCCUCUACAACUUCAUUGUUGUUUUUGCAUGUUGUAUUAAAAUACUGUUGAUGUUCUCUGCUGCUCAGUUUGGUUUUGCUCCUCUGCUGUUGGCCUUUUCACUAGACCUGCACAAAUAAUCAAAUAAUUUAAUUUACAAAUUGAAUAAA